CUCUUCUUAGAUAUCUUGAUUCCUUGGUUGAUGUGAAGGCACACAGCAACACAUUCUCUCCAGUGACAUCCAUAUUGGGGGGCAAAGCGGCAGCGAUGGCUACACAAGGCGACACAUGAUUCUUGGACCGGGCCCUCCAGUAAACUCCAUAAGACCAUAAACAGCUGGUCCCCGAUUCGCCGAGCAAUCCAGCCGUCACCUGCUCACUUCAUUACGGAUCAGCGUGGAGCCGUGGACACAACCUAGCACCGGAAUCUCUCAAAAAAAAAAUCACACAAAUGCUUUCGGAAAGAAAUCAAAACAUGGUUGAAGUUGACAUAACACAAACCCGAACAGGAGCACGGGUGAGACUGAGAGUGCACGUCCCCCUUCCAGGAGAGAGGAGGAGAUGGGAGGGCGAAGCGCGCGGAGGAGUGGCUACCAGCUUGAGGCCUUAUGCCGCCGGCUUGACGGCGGCGAGUAGACGCCCGCUUGGGACGGCAAGGACUUUAUGCGUAGCAGCGGAUGGGCUCCGCGCUGCAUUUUCUGAGAGGCGGCGGUCCACAGAAUCGGGCUGCUGGGAUAGGACGA
This 570-nucleotide long non-coding RNA is filed under the name Sorghum bicolor (sorghum). Its description in RNAcentral is "long non-coding RNA (SBIC_LNC016754)". Lineage: Eukaryota; Viridiplantae; Streptophyta; Magnoliopsida; Poales; Poaceae. The record is from RNAcentral.